Long non-coding RNA from Cucurbita moschata (crookneck pumpkin), 91 nucleotides. RefSeq lists it as uncharacterized. NCBI's taxonomy places the organism in Eukaryota, Viridiplantae, Streptophyta, Magnoliopsida, Cucurbitales, Cucurbitaceae. The transcript is spliced from 3 exons. The record is from RefSeq and is a predicted model, not a curated record.
AGAACUCGUUGGCGAACUCCCAUCUGUCCGGGACAAUCUUCCUAAAACCCUAUUUUGAAAAAAGGAGCAAAACCCAUGUACUUUGCGUUGA